This is a long non-coding RNA of Vombatus ursinus (common wombat), 426 nucleotides long. RefSeq lists it as uncharacterized. The transcript is spliced from 3 exons. The record is from RefSeq and is a predicted model, not a curated record. Lineage: Eukaryota; Metazoa; Chordata; Mammalia; Diprotodontia; Vombatidae.
UAUCAUGCAACUUCACUGCAGCCUUGGUUCUGAACACAAAACUGGGCACUUUGCUCUCAGGCCAUGCUACAUCAAGAAACACUGCUGAAACCAAAAAGGAGUUGCAGAGAAAGUUUAAGAAGCUCCGGUAUAAACAAUGUCAAGCACAUGUGUGACUUAUGACUGGAAAAGAGGGAUGGUCCCAGUGGCCCGGUCCAGACAAAGAAUUUUUAGAUCUAAAUUUUCAAACUGUGAAAAUAAUUUUGGUCACCUUGAGUCAUCAUCUGAGGAAGAAAAUGAGUCUCUUAGUUUUAUAAGACAAGACACUUCAACUCCAGAUCAAAGUGAAGAUUCAAGCAGUUCUGAAGAAGAAGAGGAGGAAGAAGAGGAGGAAGAAGAAUGGAAAAGUGAAGAGAAAAGUGACAGUGACAGUGACAAUUCCAGGUA